This 294-nucleotide long non-coding RNA is filed under the name Felis catus (domestic cat). Its description in RNAcentral is "lncRNA (ENSFCAG00000047225.1)". Lineage: Eukaryota; Metazoa; Chordata; Mammalia; Carnivora; Felidae. The record is from RNAcentral.
AUGUCAGUCAUGAAGAUGUUCACCAGACAGAAAGUCUGGAGCAGAAGUCCAAGGAGGAAACAGACUUACAUGUCCAACCCCUUUGUCCUGAGAUCUGGAGAUCUGGAGAUCUGGAGUCUAUCGAGGAUUCCGUUGUCCCCUCCCUUUGGCAUUUAUAAGCACUGGUGUGUACCUGGGACCAUGUUAAGUGCUAGGAGUUCAGAAAUGAAAGCAUACAGUCUUUGUUCUCAAGGAACUGUCUAGUUGAUGAGAAAGAAGAAUAAAAAAACUAAUUACAGAAUUGGUUCUGGAGUG